Molecule: long non-coding RNA, 1347 nt
Organism: Homo sapiens (human)
Lineage: Eukaryota; Metazoa; Chordata; Mammalia; Primates; Hominidae
Source: Ensembl
UGCCCGCUCAGCACAUGUGAAAUCUCUUUCUCAUUCAUACCCUACAUGCUCUUAUCAGAGAGGAGGCAACUUAGACAAGUAAAGGUUCUGCAAGCACAGAUGCAGCUUCCCACCUGAAGCCACUGCCGACUUCAAGGGCCUGGCUCAGCGGCUGAGGUUCUCAGGAGGAUGUGGCCAGCACAAUGGUUCCAUUAUUGAGCGUUUGAAGCACUCUUUAUUUUUAACUACCCCUCUGGGCUUUUGCUAGGCUGUAACCCCUGCCAGGAAGGCUCAGCCCCUGUCCCUGGCUACCUCGCCUUGUUCUUCAAAGUCCAGAGUAAACGCCACCUUCUCCACAACAUGCUUCCUGACACGCCCUGAUGGAGGCACGUGCUAAGUCCGUUCUGAGUGUGUCUGUCCCCACCCUGAGGGCAGUGACCAAGGCCUGGCCCAUGCCCAGCACGGAGCAGGCACUGCCCAGUUGGCCAGGCAGCACACACUGACUUGGGACCUACAGACAAGAGUUCAAGUUCCAGCUCUUCCCUUCAGUGACUAUGUGAACCUGCCUUCUCUGGGCCUCAGUUUACUCAUCAGUAAAACGAGGGUAACAACCCUGGCAAGUUCCAGGAUUGUGCAGUUGGGAGUUGCUGGUCUGGCCUGGUAGAUAAGUGACUCUUUGUGCAAAUUAUUUUGCUUAAAACAUUCUUUGUUGGUAAAGCAGCAACUCAUUGCUUAAUUCCUGCAAAUCAUCGUUAAUGGACAGCAAGCAUUUAUUGACUACCAACUGUAUAUAUGGCCCCAGGCCAGUCUUAGAACACCAACAGGAACCACUUCCCAACCCAAAAGCACCCAGCAGAUGAUAGAUGCUAUUGACGUCAACAUUGCUGAGAUGAACCCGGAACCCCAGUCUAGCCAUGAGAAAAGCCUCAGACAGAUUCUAAUAGUGGGGCAUUCUACAGAACACCAGACUAGGCCAGGCACUGUGGCUCACAUCUAUAAUCCCAGCACUUUGGGAGGCCAAGGCAGGAGGAUCACUUGAGGCCAGGAGUUCAAGACCAACCUGGGUGACAUGGUGUGACCCUAUCUCUACCAAAAAACAAAUUUUUUAAUAAAAUUAGCUGGGCAUGGGGGCACAUGCCUGUAGUCCCAGCUACUCAGGAGGCUGAGGUGGGAGAAUCGCUUGAGCCUGGGAGGUGGAGGCUGCAGUGAGCUAUGAUUGUGUCACGGUACUCAAGCCUGGGUGACAGACUUAGACACUAUCCAAAAAAUAAAAAAUAAAAGGCCAGGCAAGGUGGCUCAUGCCUGUAAUCCCAGCACUUUGGGAGACCAAGGCGGGCGGAUCACAAGGUCAAGCGAUCGAGACCAUCC